CUAGCUGGUCUGAGAGGAUGAUCAGCCACACUGGAACUGAGACACGGUCCAGACUCCUACGGGAGGCAGCAGUGGGGAAUAUUGCACAAUGGGCGAAAGCCUGAUGCAGCCAUGCCGCGUGUAUGAAGAAGGCCUUCGGGUUGUAAAGUACUUUCAGUUGUGAGGAAGGGGGUGUCGUUAAUAGCGGCAUCUCUUGACGUUAGCAACAGAAGAAGCACCGGCUAACUCCGUGCCAGCAGCCGCGGUAAUACGGAGGGUGCGAGCGUUAAUCGGAAUUACUGGGCGUAAAGCGCAUGCAGGUGGUUCAUUAAGUCAGAUGUGAAAGCCCGGGGCUCAACCUCGGAACUGCAUUUGAAACUGGUGAACUAGAGUACUGUAGAGGGGGGUAGAAUUUCAGGUGUAGCGGUGAAAUGCGUAGAGAUCUGAAGGAAUACCAGUGGCGAAGGCGGCCCCCUGGACAGAUACUGACACUCAGAUGCG
Molecule: ribosomal RNA, 480 nt
Filed under: Vibrio chagasii
Lineage: Bacteria; Pseudomonadati; Pseudomonadota; Gammaproteobacteria; Vibrionales; Vibrionaceae
Description: bacterial SSU rRNA
Rfam family: Bacterial small subunit ribosomal RNA
Source: RNAcentral